This 440-nucleotide ribosomal RNA is filed under the name uncultured bacterium. RNAcentral's name for it is "partial 16S ribosomal RNA". It matches the Rfam family "Bacterial small subunit ribosomal RNA", at positions 339 to 795 of the family's 1533-position model. The record is from RNAcentral.
CUACGGGUUGCUCCAGUAGGGAAUAUUGGACAAUGGGCGAAAGCCUGAUCCAGCAACGCCGCGUGCACGAUGACGGCCUUCGGGUUGUAAAGUGCUUUUAGAGGAGAUGAGAAAGGACAGUAUCCUCUGAAUAAGCCUCGGCGAACUACGUGCCAGCAGCCGCGGUAAAACGUAGGAGGCAAGCGUUAUCCGGAUUUAUUGGGCGUAAAGCGCGUGCAGGCGGUUUGACAAGUUGGAUGUGAAAGCUCCCGGCUUAACUGGGAGAGGUCGUUCAAAACUGUCAGACUAGAGAAUGGGAGAGGGAGGUGGAAUUCCGGGUGUAGUGGUGAAAUGCGUAGAUAUCCGGAGGAACACCAGUGGCGAAAGCGGCCUCCUAGACCAUUUCUGACGCUAAGACGCGAAAGCUAGGGUAGCAAACGGGAUUAGAUACCCGAGUAGUC